Molecule: transfer RNA, 69 nt
Filed under: Pethia gelius (golden barb)
Lineage: Eukaryota; Metazoa; Chordata; Actinopteri; Cypriniformes; Cyprinidae
Description: tRNA-Phe
Rfam family: tRNA
About the family: Transfer RNA (tRNA) molecules are approximately 80 nucleotides in length. Their secondary structure includes four short double-helical elements and three loops (D, anti-codon, and T loops).
Source: RNAcentral
GCCAGCGUAGCCUAACAUAAAGCAUAGCACUGAAGAUGCUAAGAUGAGUAUUAAAAACCUCCGCUCGCA